RNAcentral lists this unclassified non-coding RNA (789 nucleotides) under Melitaea cinxia (Glanville fritillary). Its description in RNAcentral is "misc RNA ENSMCXG00005008639.1". Lineage: Eukaryota; Metazoa; Arthropoda; Insecta; Lepidoptera; Nymphalidae. The record is from RNAcentral.
CAUAAUCAAAUUGAAGGGUACAGGGGCAAAACAAGAAAUGUCACAAAAACAAAAAGUUAUGUAAUUGACAUUUUAAUUUUUCAAAGUUAAAAACUUUCUUAAGUGUCAGUUAAAAUUAUAAAACGCUAAUAGGAACUUUAGUUUACAUUAUAAAGUCUUAUUUUUAGGAACAUAAAAUAUUGAAAUGAAAAUAUAUAUUUUUUUAUAAUUAAAAAAUUAAAGUAAUUCACUUUUGGAACAUACAAAAACUGGUAAUGUCCACUGUGUCCCAUACAAGGAAUGUCCAACUUAAUAAUUUUUUUACUAAUUAUGCAUGAGGAAUGCCUUCAAAGUAGGAUUGAGCCCCUUUAGAACAAAAUCUUUUUAAAUCCAUUAAAUCCUUGUACUUUUCUGCACUAAUAGGUAAAAAAAAUUGAUAGGAAAAUUCUGGUAAUUCAAAUUCAUUUGAUGUGUCUGAUCCAGUUCCCUUUUUUGCCACUAUGGGUGAUUUCUCCCAUAUACCAUUAUAAGUACUUCUGUGUAAAAUAAUUCUAGGGUGUUCUCUUACACACAUUAUUUCUCUUUGAGACUGCACAGGAAAUGAGCAUUUUUUCAGAUAUUUAUUUUGAAAAAAUUCUGAAAAUUUUCUGAUUACCUCGCCUAUUCCUACCUCAAUCACCUCAAAGGGUUUGGGUCUAUGGUGACUAACUCUCAGCAAAUCAUACUAAUGGUAUGGAACUUCCAUGGGGGUUUUUAGAUUGAUAAGGCCCAUAUUUUUGUCACAUUCUAAGUGUGAAUGUCCUCGGAUUG